UGGGGAGAGGGAGGUUGGGCAGCGAGGAUGCGCCUAGCGAGCAGCGUUGCCUUUGCCCCGGCGGUGGCCCUGGUCCAGGUUUCCUCUCCAGAAGUCCUGCCGAGAGCCCUGCUCCGGGGCGGGAGGCUGACGCAGGGCGCACGGGUCUCGGCCUGAGUAUUAGCGGGCCGUGCCCCUAGCUUGCAGCCUUCUGGGGCCAGCUCAGCCUCCCCUCUUCCACCCUUCCUAAUUGAGCUUUGGCAGAACAUGUAGGCGAAUUUACUUAGCAUUUUCCUGACACUGUAUAUUUGGGAGGCGCUUUGCCGUCCCUGAUUAGCUAAUUAACAAGGUGGGAAAGCAAAAUAGACCCUGAAACGCAUGGCUAAUGCCUUUAGUCUAGCAACUCUCUAAGAACCACUGAAGCUUUAGGCUGUUUGCGGUGAGAGAUGCUUUUGGCCAAGGUGCUGCAGGGAGAGCUAUUCAGUGUCUUCUGGUUGCCUGAGAAGGCUUGGGUGUUAAAGGCGAUGCUUUCGCUGCCUCUCCUUGCUUGUAUUGUUUAUUAAGGGCCUCCAAUCUAUGGUGGAUUAUUCGGUUUUCUUCGCUUAAGUGCAGAGCAAUUAGAAGUGCUGCUGACAAAGCAGUUAAGGGAAAAACACCCAAACCUGCGGUCCACCUAAGUCUGGAUAGUUGUCUGCUUUACCAGGUUACCCUCCUGUGCAGAAAAGCUAGGAUCUUCCUGUCCCCUCCCCAUCUUCUUGGUAGGACUGUAUCCAACUGGGUGGCGGUUCCUCGUUCCUCAAUUAGUCCACAGAGCUCUUGCCGCCUGGGUUUACGGACCUGCCCAGGGGCAUUCUCUACGAGUGGGCUUAAUUAGCACUUUCAUCUGCCCAUUAAGCAAUAGGGCUUGAAAUCAGGCACUGUUGUAGUUUUGAAUCUUUAAUAAUAUCUAAUUCAUUUUAAUAGUGUUUCUAUAAUAAUCUUUCUAUUAGCAUGCCAGCUCUGCAACACCAGUACUUUUCGUGUAGAAGCAGCCAUUUCCGUGAAAUAUUAUCAUGGCAAAAACAGUUCUCCCUCAGAUCUGCAGCCCUCUGUACUUGGAUAAUUACUGCUGGAGGUUGUUACAGUUUUUAUUCUUUGGGGCAAUAGGCGUUACAAUGUGUUUGAUCUGUGAGGUCGUUAUGGGGUCAUCCCUCCUUGUGGGGGGGAUCUCAGUCACUGUGUCACUUGAGUUUUGUGUGGACCUAAUAAUGUGUGAAUUUUGCCCCCAUGCUGAUUUCUCCUUGAACAAGGUACAGAGCUAACAAGAUUGAGUUUUGAUUUGCCAGCCUAAAUUUUAAGACGGAUGAGAGCUAUGGCGCUGGUUUGGUUGGCAUAUAUGCCAGACAUUGUUUUGGGUGCUUUACAGAUAUUAACUUCGCUGAUUCUCACAACAACCCUAAUAUUUCCCCAGUUUCAGAUGAUGAAAAUGGGGCCCAGUUAACUGACUGAGGUCACAUAGUUAAGGAAAGGACAGCCACAUCCUAAGGCAAGGAGGCAGCUGACCUCAGCAUCCAGGUGCCUAACCACUGGCCUAGCCUGCCUUUGUAGGUUAUUUUUUUUCCCCAGCAAAUAUUUAUUUGCACCUGCUGCCUGUGUACACGCAGCACUGUGGGGAGAAGAGCACGUAGGGUGUGAGAGCUGACCCUGGGUCAGCAGUUCUCCUUCUGGUCUUCACUCUGUCAACAACGAAGCUGUCAUUUUGAGCAGGGUACCUGAUCUCCCUGCAGAUGAACUAAGUAGCCUUCGCCUCCUGAGGAGCUGGAGAGAUGCGUCCCUGCAUGUAAGAAUUAAAUGUCCUCCUCCCUGAAGCACAGUGUAAGAUCAGGGAUCAGACGAGUUGGGGGUUGCAGGUGAGUGUGUGUGUGUGUGUGUGUGUGUGUGUGUGUGCACAGAGGAGGAGCUUGUCAGCCUCUUCCCCGGUUUGGGGGGCAUUGGGAGUGGACCUGGGAAGUCCAGUGGGGUGAAGAAGAGAGACAGCUUUGUGUGUCGACUCCAAAGCUGUAUCCUAGACGGGGGCCAGCGUCUAAAUGUGUGCAGACCGGAAAAUAGAUUUUCUUUCUUCUCAAGAGGGGAUGCACCAUGGGAAACUCCCUCUGCCUAAUGAAGAAGUAGAAUAUACUGUUUCCCCUCGGGUGUUGCCACCUUUCACACCGCUCCUUUAGCCGUGGGUUGUGCGUCUGGGUCAUGUCGGGAAGCUGGAGGUAUUCGAAACUAUUCCAGCAGGACCUGUGUAUGAGGCUUUCUUCUGAUUUCUCUGGGAACCUUUGGGCACCUGUUGAUAGGUGCUGCCGAGCCCACAGACUGCAGGGCUGCGAGAGUCAUUAGAUCAGGAGUUUUCCUUCCAGGGCAGACUGUGUGGCGCUUCAAGGAGGGCUGGUUGUGCCUCCAUCACCACGUCGACAGGGAAACAGGAUAAUUUGGAGGGAACAGAGAGGAUUUACCCAGGGAGCCACAACGACAGGAAAAAAUAGUUGUGCAUGUUGUCAGUUCCCUUUCCUUUGUUUCUUGAUGUGUUUCUGGCUGUGACAUUUCUUCAGUGCUCAUAUUUACAAAUUUAUAAAUGUACACAUAUCGUCUAGGGAGUUCCCAUUGUGGCGCAGUGGAAACGAAUCCAACCAGCAUCCGUGAGGACAUGGAUUUGGUCCCUGGCCUCGCUCAGUGGGUCGGGGAUCCUGUGUGGCCGUGAGCUGUGGUGUAGGUCACAGAUGUGGUUCGGCGUUGCUGGUGGGGGCCGGCAGCUCUGAUUCGAUCCCUAGCCUGGAAUUUCCUUAUGC
RNAcentral lists this long non-coding RNA (2792 nucleotides) under Sus scrofa (pig). RNAcentral describes it as "lncRNA (ENSSSCG00000051161.1, ENSSSCG00175039282.1)". Lineage: Eukaryota; Metazoa; Chordata; Mammalia; Artiodactyla; Suidae. The record is from RNAcentral.